AGAGCUUGCUCGAAGAUGGUGAGAGUGGCGCACGGGUGCGUAACGCGUGAGCAACCUACCUCUAUCAGGGGGAUAGCCUCUCGAAAGAGAGAUUAACACCGCAUAACAUAUCUGACCGGCAUCGGUUAGCUAUUAAAUAUUUAUAGGAUAGAGAUGGGCUCGCGUGACAUUAGCUAGUUGGUAGGGUAACGGCUUACCAAGGCGACGAUGUCUAGGGGCUCUGAGAGGAGAAUCCCCCACACUGGUACUGAGACACGGACCAGACUCCUACGGGAGGCAGCAGUAAGGAAUAUUGGUCAAUGGGCGGAAGCCUGAACCAGCCAUGCCGCGUGCAGGAUGACUGCCCUAUGGGUUGUAAACUGCUUUUGUCCAGGAAUAAACCUAUAUACGUGUAUGAAGCUGAAUGUACUGGAAGAAUAAGGAUCGGCUAACUCCGUGCCAGCAGCCGCGGUAAUACGGAGGAUCCGAGCGUUAUCCGGAUUUAUUGGGUUUAAAGGGUGCGUAGGCGGCCUAUUAAGUCAGGGGUGAAAUACGGUGGCUCAACCAUCGCAGUGCCUUUGAUACUGAUGGGCUUGAAUCCAUUUGAAGUGGGCGGAAUAAGACAAGUAGCGGUGAAAUGCAUAGAUAUGUCUUAGAACUCCGAUUGCGAAGGCAGCUCACUAAGCUGGUAUUGACGCUGAUGCACGAAAGCGUGGGGAUCGAACAGGAUUAGAUACCCUGGUAGUCCACGCCCUAAACGAUGAUAACUCGAUGUUGGCGAUAGACAGCCAGCGUCCAAGCGAAAGCGUUAAGUUAUCCACCUGGGGAGUACGCCCGCAAGGGUGAAACUCAAAGGAAUUGACGGGGGCCCGCACAAGCGGAGGAGCAUGUGGUUUAAUUCGAUGAUACGCGAGGAACCUUACCCGGGCUUGAAAGUUAGUGAAGAGUGCAGAGACGCACUCGUCCUUCGGGACACGAAACUAGGUGCUGCAUGGCUGUCGUCAGCUCGUGCCGUGAGGUGUUGGGUUAAGUCCCGCAACGAGCGCAACCCCUAUGUUUAGUUGCCAGCAUGUAAUGGUGGGGACUCUAAACAGACUGCCUGUGCAAACAGAGAGGAAGGUGGGGACGACGUCAAGUCAUCAUGGCCCUUACGUCCGGGGCUACACACGUGCUACAAUGGAUGGUACAGCGGGCAGCUACAUAGCAAUAUGAUGCUAAUCUCUAAAAGCCAUUCACAGUUCGGAUUGGGGUCUGCAACUCGACCCCAUGAAGUUGGAUUCGCUAGUAAUCGCGUAUCAGCAAUGACGCGGUGAAUACGUUCCCGGGCCUUGUACACACCGCCCGUCAAGCCAUGAAAGUUGGGGGUACCUAAA
RNAcentral lists this ribosomal RNA (1352 nucleotides) under Sphingobacterium multivorum. Its description in RNAcentral is "bacterial SSU rRNA". It matches the Rfam family "Bacterial small subunit ribosomal RNA", at positions 75 to 1425 of the family's 1533-position model. Lineage: Bacteria; Pseudomonadati; Bacteroidota; Sphingobacteriia; Sphingobacteriales; Sphingobacteriaceae. The record is from RNAcentral.